RNAcentral lists this ribosomal RNA (465 nucleotides) under uncultured bacterium. RNAcentral's name for it is "partial 16S ribosomal RNA". It matches the Rfam family "Bacterial small subunit ribosomal RNA", at positions 28 to 507 of the family's 1533-position model. The record is from RNAcentral.
GACGAACGCUGGCGGCGUGCUUAACACAUGCGAGUCGAACGGAAAGGCCCUGCUUGCAGGGUACUCGAGUGGCGAACGGGCGAGUAACACGUGGGUGAUCUGCCCUGCACUUCGGGAUAAGCUUGGGAAACUGGGUCUAAUACCGGAUAGGAGCCAUCUUUAGCGUGGUGGUUGGAAAGUUUUUUCGGUGUAGGAUGAGCUCGCGGCCUAUCAGCUUGUUGGUGGGGUAAUGGCCUACCAAGGCGGCGACGGGUAGCCGGCCUGAGAGGGUGUACGGCCACCUUGGGUCUGAGGGACGGCCCAGACGCCUACUGGAGGCAGCAGUGGGGAAGAUUGCACCAGGGGCGCAAGCCUGAUGCAGCAACGCCGCGGGGGGGAUGAAGGCCUUCGGGUUGUAAACACCUUUCGCUAGGGACGAAGCUUUUUGUGACGGUACCUAGAUAAGAAGCACCGGCUAACUACGUG